Molecule: ribosomal RNA, 460 nt
Filed under: uncultured bacterium
Lineage: Bacteria
Description: partial 16S ribosomal RNA
Rfam family: Bacterial small subunit ribosomal RNA
Source: RNAcentral
CCUACGGGAGGCAGCAGUGAGGAAUAUUGGUCAAUGGACGCAAGUCUGAACCAGCCAUGCCGCGUGCAGGAAGACGGCUCUAUGAGUUGUAAACUGCUUUUGUACGAGGGUAAAUCCCGAUACGUGUAUCGGGUUGAAAGUAUCGUACGAAUAAGGAUCGGCUAACUCCGUGCCAGCAGCCGCGGUAAUACGGAGGAUUCAAGCGUUAUCCGGAUUUAUUGGGUUUAAAGGGUGCGUAGGCGGUUCGAUAAGUUAGAGGUGAAAUCCCGGGGCUCAACUCCGGCACUGCCUCUGAUACUGUUGAUCUAGAGAGUAGAUGCGGUAGGCGGAAGGUAUGGUGUAGCGGUGAAAUGCUUAGAGAUCAUACAGAACACCGAUUGCGAAGGCAGCUUACCAAUCUAUAUCUGACGUUGAGGCACGAAAGCGUGGGGAGCAAACAGGAUUAGAUACCCUUGUAGUC